AGAGUUUGAUCCUGGCUCAGGACGAACGCUGGCGGCGUGCCUAACACAUGCAAGUCGAGCGGGGAAUAUUGAGUAGCUUGCUACUUGGUAUUUCUAGCGGCGGACGGGUGAGUAACGCGUGAGCAACCUGCAUUUAUCAGGGGGAUAACGCAUCGAAAGAUGUGCUAAUACCGCGUAAGACCACAGCUUCACAUGGAGCAGAGGUCAAAGGAGCAAUCCGGAUAAAGAUGGGCUCGCGUCCGAUUAGCUAGUUGGUGAGAUAACAGCCCACCAAGGCGACGAUCGGUAGCCGACCUGAGAGGGUGAUCGGCCACAUUGGAACUGAGAUACGGUCCAGACUCCUACGGGAGGCA
Molecule: ribosomal RNA, 353 nt
Filed under: uncultured bacterium
Lineage: Bacteria
Description: bacterial SSU rRNA
Rfam family: Bacterial small subunit ribosomal RNA
Source: RNAcentral